This 253-nucleotide ribosomal RNA is filed under the name uncultured bacterium. Its description in RNAcentral is "partial 16S ribosomal RNA". It matches the Rfam family "Bacterial small subunit ribosomal RNA", at positions 524 to 776 of the family's 1533-position model. The record is from RNAcentral.
UACGGAGGGUGCAAGCGUUAUCCGGAUUCACUGGGUUUAAAGGGUGCGUAGGUGGGUUGGUAAGUCAGUGGUGAAAUCUCCAGGCUUAACUUGGAAACUGCCAUUGAUACUAUCAAUCUUGAAUACCGUGGAGAUGAGCGGAAUAUGUCAUGUAGCGGUGAAAUGCUUAGAUAUGACAUAGAACACCAAUUGCGAAGGCAGCUCGUUACACGAAUAUUGACACUGAUGCACGAAAGCGUGGGGAGCGAACAGG